UCCACGAAUCACAGACGUGUAACGAGACUAGUAUUGGCCAAUGGUGAAUUUACCGUGCACGUGGGCCGCGUCUAAGUCGUUCCUGUACCGACCUGUUCAACAUCCGCAUCAUGCGAAUGCUCCGUAUUGAUUUUUGCGGAGGCGGAUGCGGAUUUUGAAAAUGAUGCGGAAGUUCCGCGCGUGCGGAUGCGGAUGCGAAUAUCCGCAACAUCCCUGCUUCAUAUAUUGUGACAGU
Long non-coding RNA from Leguminivora glycinivorella, 235 nucleotides. RefSeq lists it as uncharacterized. The transcript has 4 exons. The record is from RefSeq and is a predicted model, not a curated record. Lineage: Eukaryota; Metazoa; Arthropoda; Insecta; Lepidoptera; Tortricidae.